Molecule: long non-coding RNA, 2045 nt
Organism: Betta splendens (Siamese fighting fish)
Lineage: Eukaryota; Metazoa; Chordata; Actinopteri; Anabantiformes; Osphronemidae
Exons: 4
Source: RefSeq, a predicted model, not a curated record
UUCAAAGUGACGUAUACUUCUCCUGAUGUAAAAGAAAGAAAACCUAAAUAUCAAAUGACAGAAUUGUUGAACUUUUGUUCACAUUUCAAAAAACAAAACAUUACUUUUUCACCUUAAACUGAUUUUUUUUUACUUUGCAUGCUUGGAGUAUGAAGAGUGUGCAAAUGUGCUUUGCUGGGGUAUUUGUUCAGGGAUUUAUAGAACAAGUGGGAAAGACCUGAGGGAGUAAAUGGAAUCAUGAUGAGAAACUUUAAACACUGAGCUUGAUCAAGAGUUGAUGAGUAUAACAUUGAUUAUAUUUAUUUACAUAAAAUUAGUUUGCCACAUUCAACACAGAUAUUCAGUUGGAUGUCACUUUUUGUAAUUGGUACUUUACUGUACAGUAUACUAUACUUCAAAAAUGUAAAAACUAUAAAGUAACAUACACCAAAUCAGGGAUUGAACAAGAUAAGAAUAGAGACAAGUGAAGUUAAAGGCUUUUGAACUUAUGUUUCAUUAUUUUCACUUUUGUCACGAUGCUAGACGAACUGUGCAAACAAACAUGAGCAGCUUGUUGAACCAAUGAGCAGCGCGGCUGAUGUGAUUGACAGAGAGAUGAGCCAACCAGCGACCUGUGGCAGACCUGUAAAACGAAGCGUUACUAAAGUGUGUAGUAAAAGUCUAUGCAAAAUCUUACUAUGUCACACAGGCAGUUUCACAAAUGCUGCACCUUUCAGGAUCAACUGUAACUCGAGAUUUUAAGCUGAGUUUUGAGUAUUUAAAUUAUUCUGAAGACUUAAGGUGAAGCCAAGGUUGACUGGUGAAAAGGUGAUGGUGUUUUACUUAACAUCCAGCUCAUGGAAGCGGGUAAAUACUGUACCUGUUUGACUUUUCAUUUAUUUAUUUUUUCCCAUUUUCGCUCUCACCUCCUUAUCCUACAUCAUUAUGAGGAUGAAAUGUGUGUGGCAUUUAGUGAUCAGUGAGCUAACAUGCAAUUCUCAAUAAUUGAUUUUUUUCCCAUUUAUACUUCAAAAUCAUAAAUCAUAAUCAGAAUUUGCUGGUCCUGAAAUGGUCACCACCAUAGACAGACUUUGAACAUGAAAACAAGGGCCCUAUAUAGUCAAAAAGGAGACGGCAGUAUUUAUGGAGGCUUCACAGCAAAGACUACAGAACUGAGUAGUAGAACUGAAGUGUACACCCUGGAUCCUGUGAGUAAAACCUCUGCAUUUCCACAGAAUUUGAACAGACACUGUAAACAAGGCGCAUAAUUAAAUACACUGUCAUGGGAAAAACUGUGAGAAACUGCUUUGAGUUACCUUUAAUUUGUGUUUUAUCCUGUAUUCAGUGGUUUUAAAAUGUAUUAUAUGCUUAAACAUCUACUGUUUGUGUGAUCAACAGCACUGAACAAAAUUCAUUUCAAUACACAAUACACACAAUGAGGGCCCGAGUGAAACACCAUAUUUGACAUCUGAACUCACUAUAAUCACAACAACUACUACAUAUUUUGCAAAAUCUGAGGUACAUGGAUGGCACGGGUGUGACUAAUCAUGUAGGAACUAACUUUUUCUUCUUCUUAGCAAACUCACAAAUGGAUCAUCACCUGCCUGUGACCGUCCUACUCUUUGAUCAGCUCCAACGCUGUGCAACAAGCUGUGCUCAUUGAUUCGGGGGUAGACGCCAGAUGGCGGAGAGGCUGAGGGUUGCCAUCUUGCCUCGCUAAGGGAGACGGAGUUCCACCUAUUGGGACCUGUGAGACGUAUUCAAGGCAGAUCCACAUGAACUCAGCUACGACCAAGGCGGUGGAGAACUGGCCCACGCCACAGAGCUCAUGCGAUGUGCAGCAAUUUUUGGAGGCCAACGCAGCCUUUAGACAGCUCAAGUGGAGCUUCACCUCCGCACCCAUCUUGCACUUUCGUGGCAGUUCGUGGUGGAGGUGGACACUUCUCAGUUUGGGGUGGGUGAUAUCCCAGCAGGACCCAAAGGAUGGCAAACUGCAUCCCUUUGCAUGCAUGUGCUGUAAGUGUAUCCUCCGCUGAGAGUAACUAUAAUAGGACACCAAACCGGAU